GACGAACGCUGGCGGCGUGCUUAACACAUGCAAGUCGAACGGAAAGGCCCUGCUUUUGUGGGGUGCUCGAGUGGCGAACGGGUGAGUAACACGUGAGUAACCUGCCCUUGACUUUGGGAUAACUUCAGGAAACUGGGGCUAAUACCGGAUAGGAGCUCCUGCUGCAUGGUGGGGGUUGGAAAGUUUCGGCGGUUGGGGAUGGACUCGCGGCUUAUCAGCUUGUUGGUGGGGUAGUGGCUUACCAAGGCUUUGACGGGUAGCCGGCCUGAGAGGGUGGCCGGCCACAUUGGGACUGAGAUACGGCCCAGACUCCUACGGGGGGCAGCAGUGGGGAAUAUUGCACAAUGGGCGGAAGCCUGAUGCAGCAACGCCGCGUGCGGGAUGACGGCCUUCGGGUUGUAAACCGCUUUCGCCUGUGACGAAGCGUGAGUGACGGUAAUGGGUAAAGAAGCACCGGCUAACUACGUGCCAGCAGCCGCGGUGAUACGUAGGGUGCGAGCGUUGUCCGGAUUUAUUGGGCGUAAAGGGCUCGUAGGUGGUUGAUCGCGUCGGAAGUGUAAUCUUGGGGCUUAACCCUGAGCGUGCUUUCGAUACGGGUUGACUUGAGGAAGGUAGGGGAGAAUGGAAUUCCUGGUGGAGCGGUGGAAUGCGCAGAUAUCAGGAGGAACACCAGUGGCGAAGGCGGUUCUCUGGGCCUUUCCUGACGCUGAGGAGCGAAAGCGUGGGGAGCGAACAGGCUUAGAUACCCUGGUAGUCCACGCUGUAAACGGUGGGUACUAGGUGUGGGGUCCAUUCCACGGGUUCCGUGCCGUAGCUAACGCUUUAAGUACCCCGCCUGGGGAGUACGGCCGCAAGGCUAAAACUCAAAGGAAUUGACGGGGCCCCGCACAAGCGGCGGAGCAUGCGGAUUAAUUCGAUGCAACGCGUAGAACCUUACCUGGGUUUGACAUGGAUCGGGAGCGCUCAGAGAUGGGUGUGCCUCUUUUGGGGUCGGUUCACAGGUGGUGCAUGGCUGUCGUCAGCUCGUGUCGUGAGAUGUUGGGUUAAGUCCCGCAACGAGCGCAACCCUUGUUCACUGUUGCCAGCACGUUAUGGUGGGGACUCAGUGGAGACCGCCGGGGUCAACUCGGAGGAAGGUGGGGAUGACGUCAAGUCAUCAUGCCCCUUAUGUCCAGGGCUUCACGCAUGCUACAAUGGCUGGUACAGAGAGUGGCGAGCCUGUGAGGGUGAGCGAAUCUCGGAAAGCCGGUCUCAGUUCGGAUUGGGGUCUGCAACUCGACCUCAUGAAGUCGGAGUCGCUAGUAAUCGCAGAUCAGCAACGCUGCGGUGAAUACGUUCCCGGGGCU
This 1346-nucleotide ribosomal RNA is filed under the name uncultured bacterium. RNAcentral describes it as "bacterial SSU rRNA". It matches the Rfam family "Bacterial small subunit ribosomal RNA", at positions 28 to 1381 of the family's 1533-position model. The record is from RNAcentral.